UGGGGAAUAUUGCACAAUGGGCGAAAGCCUGAUGCAGCAACGCCGCGUGAACGAUGAAGGUCUUCGGAUCGUAAAGUUCUGUUGCAGGGGAAGAUAAUGACGGUACCCUGUGAGGAAGCCCCGGCUAACUACGUGCCAGCAGCCGCGGUAAUACGUAGGGGGCUAGCGUUAUCCGGAUUUACUGGGCGUAAAGGGUGCGUAGGUGGUCCUUCAAGUCGGUGGUUAAAGGCUACGGCUCAACCGUAGUAAGCCGCCGAAACUGGAGGACUUGAGUGCAGGAGAGGAAAGUGGAAUUCCCAGUGUAGCGGUGAAAUGCGUAGAUUUGGGAGGAACACCAGUAGCGAAGGCGGCUUUCUGGACUGCAACUGACACUGAGGCACGAAAGCGUGGGUAGCAAACAGGAUUAGAUACCCUGGUAGUCCACGCUGUAAACGAUGAGUACUAGGUGUCGGGGGUUACCCCCCUCGGUGCCGCAGCUAACGCAUUAAGUACUCCGCCUGGGGAGUACGCACGCAAGUGUG
Molecule: ribosomal RNA, 521 nt
Filed under: uncultured bacterium
Lineage: Bacteria
Description: bacterial SSU rRNA
Rfam family: Bacterial small subunit ribosomal RNA
Source: RNAcentral